Molecule: ribosomal RNA, 279 nt
Filed under: Shigella sonnei
Lineage: Bacteria; Pseudomonadati; Pseudomonadota; Gammaproteobacteria; Enterobacterales; Enterobacteriaceae
Also listed under: 1 other name
Description: partial 23S ribosomal RNA
Rfam family: Bacterial large subunit ribosomal RNA
Source: RNAcentral
CGUUUGAGAUUUGAGAGGGGCUGCUCCUAGUACGAGAGGACCGGAGUGGACGAACCUCUGGUGUUCCGGUUGUCACGCCAGUGGCAUUGCCGGGUAGCUAUGUUCGGAAGAGAUAACCGCUGAAAGCAUCUAAGCGGGAAACUUGCCUCAAGAUGAGAUCUCACUGGGAUCUUGAAUCCCCUAAAGGGCCGUCGAAGACUACGACGUUGAUAGGUUGGGUGUGUAAGCGCUGUGAGGCGUUGAGCUAACCAAUACUAAUUGCCCGUGAGGCUUGACCAU